Molecule: long non-coding RNA, 1148 nt
Organism: Pseudophryne corroboree (corroboree frog)
Lineage: Eukaryota; Metazoa; Chordata; Amphibia; Anura; Myobatrachidae
Exons: 4
Source: RefSeq, a predicted model, not a curated record
GUACUGAGCGUCCACUGCAGAUAUAUAGAAGGUUUCCUUUCUAAGUGACCCUUCAGUAGCUUGGUUUCCGAAUUUUUGUACAAGUUCUCACCACAAGGCCACACUGAUUGUUCAUCAGAAAGCCUCGGUGUUAUAUUGAAGUUUCCAUCAUGCAUGUAUGAACAAGUUUUGUCGCAUUAUACUGUUUGUAUAAACUACUGUACUUCUCAGCUGCUUGAGAGAUACCCCUGAUGAAGUCUUUUGUAUAAGACGAAACGCGUUGGGUUGUCUGUGUUGUGAAGCUAUCUCCGAACCAACUAUAAGGAGAAGGAGGAGAUUGUUGUGAUCCUUCAACAUUUGUAUUCAGCGCUAAGAGUCAUACAUCUUAAAGUGUGGAAUAAUCUAUCUCCUGUGUAUUAAUUUGAAUAUGUUUUUAAUAAAUGUUUUAUGAUGGAACAUGUUAUUUAAAAAAAAAGUAUUAACCAAUUAGGGGUUGGAAUACUGGGAGUUGAUGCGACCCCCUGGAGCCAAUUCUUCUAUUGUUAUUUAUAUAUAUAUAUAUAUAUAUAUAUAUAUAUAUAUAUAUAUAUAUAUAUGUGUGUAUAUAUACACACACACACACACACACAGACACACUAGUUUUACGGACCCAGCAUAUACUGGGUCACCUCCCGUGCUUGGCUUCUCCCAGUUCUGGAAACCCCCCCAUGCAAAUCCUGCAUUUGCCACUGAUAAUGGCUGCUUUAUUUUUACACUGCAAUUUAGAUUACAGUUUGAACACACCCCACCCAAAUUCAACUCUCUCUGCACAUGUUAUAUCUGCCCCACCUGCAGAGCACAUGGUUUUGCCCAUUGGAGAACAAUUUUACUGCUGCAAUAAGGUCCGAAUUAGGCCCACAGAGUUCAAAGAACAACCUAGAGAAGAGUCCAAGGGUAUUCAAAAGCACUAUGCUGGCCCGGCAACAGGGGAGUUCAUGGAAGACAAUUGUACUGGGCUCCAAGAUUCUUGGUAUUCCAGAUCACAUACUGUGCUGUAUUCAGCAGGGCGCAGGCAGAAAGAGGGAGACUGGCAGGAAACACAUUAAAAGUUUAUUUUUUUUCCACCCGGGUUGCAUGAUGUCAUAGAAACAUAGAAUUUGAAGGCAGGUAAGAACCAUUUGGCCAUCUUG